CAACCCCGGAACUUACUUUAAUUGAUUAAAUAUUAACUUGUCGAUAGUGUGAAAAUAAUUUAACAUUUUAAUUAUUAUCGCAUCAUCGAUUACAAAACUAGCACAUUAUUUUUAUAUUAUCGAAACAUCAAUAUGCAUUUAGUUAACUAAAUUCAGUUACAGAACUUGAUGGUAAUAGUUUAAAAAAUUUGAGCCAAAUUGUAUAAUAAAUUAAAGUUUGAGAACUAAAGUAUCACCGCGCCCAUAGUCUAAUAACCAGAAGUGUAGAUUUGGAAACUUUAAAUUAUCAUUUUUUGCUUUUGCAUCUGAAACGUGAUCGUUUCAACUUUCCGUUACGUAGCGAAAGAUACAACGUUUGUGACGCAAGAUGGCCUAACUAUUCCUAUUGAGAGUAUAAAAUUAUGGUAAAACUUCAAAUAUCCCGCGUGGUUUCGUACUUUUUUACUUUAUAUUCUGUGGUUUAAAGUGUAUCAAGUUAGUACCCGAUGAUUUUGCACUUUCUCACUUUAGUAUCCUGUGGUUUCAAGUGUAUCAUGUUAGUACCCUGUUGUUUAAUUUUUGUAUCAAGUUAGUGCAAUGUGGUUUCAAUUUUUUUUUUUUAUUAUCUAUUUCGGGGUAUAUAAUUUAACGAAAUAUUAAACCACAGAGUACUAAAGUAAGAAAGUGCGAAACCACAUGAUACUAACUUGAUACACUUGAAAGCACAGGGUACUAAAAUGAGAAAGUGCGAAACCAUACGGGUGUAUUUGAAGUUUUUCCUAAAAUUAUUUUAGAAGUUGGACAGAAAAGAUAUUUAUUUUUCGUUUAGUUUGAAAAUAAAGUAGGGAUAACAAAAGUUAUUUCCGCUAUUCUACCAAACGAAAUAUUUUUUCGCCGGAAUAUUUUAUUCUGAUCAAAUUUUACUAUUUUCGAUUAUUCCGGAAUAACUUGAGAUAAACGAUUGCACCCUUUUGGUUGGAUAGUGCUAUUACAAAAUUUAAUUACAAGCUUUACUAAGAUUAUAAAUUGAAUUAAAACUUAAUUAUAAGGACAUAAUAUCUUAUAUUUAAUUGUACUAUAUUAAUAUAUAUCAUUUAUAUUUAAAUAUUAUAAUAAAAUUAUUUUUAUUAAAUUUAAGUUUAAGUAGAAUUUGAAAGUAAUUAUUUUUAUAAAAAAAUAUUUUUUAUUAAAUCAUAAUUUAUAAUAAAUUAUUUUUACAAUGAAAUAUUUCGACAACAAAUUAUUUUUAUUAAAUUAUAUUUUAUAUCAAAUUCAAGCAUCACUUUUUUUUUUUAACUGUUCUUUACUGUUUUAUAAAAUUAACCAAACACAAUUUCAAUUAUUCCUGAGAAUAGUAGUAUUAUAAAUAAAACACAAUUUUAUUUUUAUUCCUGACUAUUUCAGAAUAGUAAGCUAUCGGGAAAUAAAAUUUUUUUUUCCCAAUAUUCGUUAUUCCGGAACCAAAUCGGCCAUUAGGGUUUAUUCGACCCUAUUUCUACUUCUAUUUCAGCAGCGUCUAAUAAGGUGUUAGAGUAGAAGAAAAAUCCAUGAGAAGUUUGAAUGACAUUCUAAGUCUCGAAAGCAGAAAGUCCAACUUGUGUUUAUACGUUUUGCAGUAAAAAUAAUAUACUAGGCACAUAUUAUUUAAUAUCAUUUCUAUUAAUAGCACUGCUCGGACAAUACUUUUGAGGGUGCGUUUGAUUCGAGUUAUGUAAUAUUACAGAGUAUUUCGAUAUAUCCAGGUAUCUUAGAUUUCUAAAUGAGAUUACUACUGAUGCUGCAUUAGUACGUUUGGUUUAAUAUAGUAAUGUAAUACUGGAUUGCAGUGUUUAUAGCAUUACUAUAUUUGGUUAUGUCUAUAAAAUUUAGUAAUCUAGACAAUAAAAUAUAGUCUAUUCCAAAAUUACCCUUAGUCAUAUUUCUUAAACUUUUUUUUACUGUUUACAAACAAUAUUUUUUUUACCAAAUUUUAUUUUAAAUAAUUUAAUUUUUUAAAUUUUAAAUUUUAAAUUUUAAAUUUUAAAUUUUAACAAAAAUAUAAAUUUAAUAUUUUAAUUUAAAAUAUAAANNNNNNNNNNNNNNNNNNNNNNNNNCCUGUAUCAUAUUUGAUACACUUAGGGCCCGUUUGGAUUGGGUAUAAAUUAAAAUUUUUAAAUUUGCUAAAAUACUACAAAUUAUUUAUUAAAAUUUGUAUAAAUUAAAAUAUUUAAAUUUGAUAAAAUAUUAUUUACCCGCCGCAAAGCGCGGGCCCUACACUAGUAUAUCAUGGAGGUUUAAUUUAAUUAAAUACAGUUGCUUUUGGGAGUGUGAUAGGAAAAAUGAAUGGUCUUGUUUUUUUUUUUUUAUAAAAUAUAUAGAUUAAUCUAUCUCUAAUUUAUUGUAUAUCUUUAUUAUUUUGCAUGUAUAUUUGUUAUAGGCUCUAAUUGAGAUUGCGAAAAAAUUAUGUUACGUGCGAUUAGAAAGUAUAAUAAAAAAUGCUGAAAUACAAAAAGCUUAUAUGUAAAUAGUCGUUUUUUUUUUCGUCUAACUUUAAAAAGCCGCAUUUUACCUCCCAAAAAUUUCAAGUGAUACAUUUAAUUUCUAUCUGUCAAGGUUUCGUCACUACUCUGUAUAUUGCUUAUAAUUUAUAUUAAAAAAAUGGUUAAAAAUGACAAAAAUAUAUUAAAAAAUUACUUUUUAUAGAACAAGUAAGCGUAAUUUGGUUGUUUCACCAUCUCUAUUAACGUUGUAAUUUUGUAAUGUCUUGCAAAUAUUUUUGAAAU
This 2741-nucleotide long non-coding RNA is filed under the name Ananas comosus (pineapple). RNAcentral describes it as "long non-coding RNA (ACOM_LNC012530)". Lineage: Eukaryota; Viridiplantae; Streptophyta; Magnoliopsida; Poales; Bromeliaceae. The record is from RNAcentral.